This 356-nucleotide ribosomal RNA is filed under the name uncultured soil bacterium. Its description in RNAcentral is "bacterial SSU rRNA". It matches the Rfam family "Bacterial small subunit ribosomal RNA", at positions 26 to 383 of the family's 1533-position model. The record is from RNAcentral.
AGAUUGAACGCUGGCGGCAGGCCUAACACAUGCAAGUCGAGCGGUAGAGAGGUGCUUGCACCUCUUGAGAGCGGCGGACGGGUGAGUAAUGCCUAGGAAUCUGCCUAGUGGUGGGGGAUAACGUUCGGAAACGGACGCUAAUACCGCAUACGUCCUACGGGAGAAAGCGGGGGACCUUCGGGCCUCGCGCCAUUAGAUGAGCCUAGGUCGGAUUAGCUAGUUGGUGAGGUAAUGGCUCACCAAGGCGACGAUCCGUAACUGGUCUGAGAGGAUGAUCAGUCACACUGGAACUGAGACACGGUCCAGACUCCUACGGGAGCAGCAGUGGGAAUAGUUGGACAAGUGGGACGAAAGCC